This 381-nucleotide ribosomal RNA is filed under the name Triticum aestivum (bread wheat). Its description in RNAcentral is "partial small subunit ribosomal RNA". The record is from RNAcentral. Lineage: Eukaryota; Viridiplantae; Streptophyta; Magnoliopsida; Poales; Poaceae.
AUGCCGGUGCGCACGUCCAGCUGCACCAAGGAGGAGGUGGACGCCAUCCUCAUCCAGUGCGGCCGCCUCAGCCGGAGCUCGUCCGGGAGCGAGACGAGGGGCGGGCACCGCUCCAAGAGGAGCUCCGACUUUGAUCCGUCCGGGGCCGGAGGCGCGGACGAGGAGGGCGACUGGGAGAGGAACGGGGUCCCCGUGUCCAGGCCGUCGCCCCACCGGGGCUCGCCGCAGAGGAAGCGCUCGGGGAGCCGGGAGAGGACCGGCGGAGGGAGCCGCCGUUCCGGCGAGGGAGAAGGGCCGCGCACCGUCGCCCGCGGCCGCGCCCGGGAAGAGGUGCGCGUCUCCGCGAUCGAGCUCGCCUGCGAGGGUGGCCGCGGCCAAUGA